Molecule: long non-coding RNA, 964 nt
Organism: Setaria italica (foxtail millet)
Lineage: Eukaryota; Viridiplantae; Streptophyta; Magnoliopsida; Poales; Poaceae
Exons: 3
Source: RefSeq, a predicted model, not a curated record
UUUGACUUUUUUUCCCCGAACCCGAACGUGGGUCGUCCAUUCAGAUCCCGUUCGUCCCGUUCAGUUCUCCUUCUGCUCUCGCCCCCGCUCGCCAUUCCCUGCCGCCGCCGCUCGCCAACCGCCGCCGCCGCCUGCCGGUGCUGUUCCCCCUCCAGUUCCUCGUUCCGACCUCGACCUGCAUCGACGAGAUCCGAGCGGCGCAGCUGGAAGCCGGCUGGCGCCCCCACCCCUCCUCGGCUUGCAUCCACAUGUGCCACGGAAGAGGUGCAGAUCAGCUUCGCAAAAUCGUCGCUAGAAUGCCAUCUCCGCCGUCGUCUUCUCCAAACUCCAGCCGGGCUCCCCGUCGUCGUUCGCCCGCCAUCGCCCCAAUUGCUUGCAGCAACCAAGUUCAUAGCACACUUGGUAAAUCAGAUGGUGGCACAUGAGCUUGUAGUGCUGGAGCUUCUUACGGUACUCCUUGAAAAUCCAACUGAUGAUAGUGUUGAGGUGGCUGUUGGGUUUGUCAAAGAGUGUGGGGCCAUGCUACAGGACCUAUCUCCACAAGGUCUUCAUGGUAAGCUAUUCGAGGCAGUGCUUAUUUUGAUAUGUCUUUCUAAAUGUGUCAGUUUCCAGCAAGGCAAUAGUAUCAUUUUUCCCACAUGUUUUGUAUCUAAGACAUAGUGGUUAAUUUAUCAAGUCAUAUAAGAGGAAUGUAUUUUACAUCACGCCUUAAAUAUUUGGACACAAUGAGGAUUUUUAGGUUAACCAUGUGAUUAUCUGGGUUUCGGUGAAACAUGGAAAUUAUCUAGGUUUAACUUUGUAAGAUGUAUUGUUGUGAACCCACAAAUUAUAACUAGAUGACAGUGGAUGCCUAGAUAUUCAGCUUUUAUCAUGUUCUUGGUUUUGGAUGCUAAGGAGUAUAUGAAUAUUGAUGUAUCUGUACAACUAUUAUGUCAUCAUGUUAAUGAAAGUAAAUAUGGUAACA